Molecule: transfer RNA, 23 nt
Filed under: Geophaps plumifera
Lineage: Eukaryota; Metazoa; Chordata; Aves; Columbiformes; Columbidae
Description: partial tRNA-Arg
Source: RNAcentral
AGAAAGUUAGUCUAACCAAGAUA